UGGCGUCUGUCACGGCAGCCCUGGCAAGCCAAGACGAGCGCCAGCUGAGGUCGCCGCCAGCAGACGUCGCCCACCAGCUGCCCUCCAUCGGACGUCACCCACGAGAGGGGCCCCUGCUGAGCCCCGCCGGCCCGGAAGCAUGAACGAGGAAAAGAAAUACUCGGAUCUGGGCUGGUUUGUAACCGAGCAACAAUUCCUGGAGCAAGGACAGGGUUCCAAGAUCCCGAGGAGCGAAGCCGAGCCCUGGGACGGCGCUUCUGGGCCCCCUUUCCUGUCACUGUGCUGUCCUUCGCCUCCUGCUCUCAGUGAGGGAAGAAUUUCUGGCUGAGCCUCGGGCCGCGCUCCUGCUUGAGGCUGCGGGUUAGUGCAUGCUGGGGUCAGCCCUGCAGGGAGAAAAGCUGGCCUCCCCCUCAAGGUGCCCCUUGGCUGUCCACAGUGGCCUGCAGGUCCCUCACCCGGGAGGUGGCCUCGUCUGACCCCGAGUGGCGUCCAGGGACCACACGCCGGCGGUACAGAGCUACAGAACUCCAGCGUCUGGAGCCCUGGAGAACCGACGUCUGAGAUCAAGAUGCUGGGGGUUGGCGCCUCCGGGAAGCCCUCGGG
RNAcentral lists this long non-coding RNA (603 nucleotides) under Dasypus novemcinctus (nine-banded armadillo). RNAcentral describes it as "lncRNA (ENSDNOG00000051473.1)". Lineage: Eukaryota; Metazoa; Chordata; Mammalia; Cingulata; Dasypodidae. The record is from RNAcentral.